CAAAAUAAACAGCUUUGCAAGCUAUGAGACAAACCCCAUAAACACCAAAUCAACCCUCAGACAAGUCUCACUCAAUUCAAAUUCAAAUUUUGAAUCCUCCCCUCAAACCUCUCACUCUCUCUCUCUACGAAUUCAUUCAUUCUCUCCUCAUCCUCUUUUCCGCUCUCCUCUUCCUCUAUUCCAAUCGCAAACCGCUACCAGGCCGAUUUUACUUACGACCAAACACAUGAAGGAGAAAGGUUGAAGAAGAAGGUUCUGAGAAUCAAGAGAUGAAGUCAAUGAUAAUAUGAGGUUGUAUGUUUCAAUCAUCUUCUGACUUUUUCCUUUGAUUUAUCCUUUUGUUGAGAUACAAACUUGGACAACUUUGGUUUCAGUUUUGUGUUUAAUUUUCUUUAUUGUGAAUGAUUUUUGUUGGAGGAAAUAGUUCGAAAGGAUCUCCUAGGAGGAGGCAUGUUCCUUCAUAUGAAUCUCCAAGGUCUUUAUCUUCAUCGGAUAACAAUUAUGAGGUCAUAAAAAACAGAGCCCAUAUCAAGCAUAAUCACAUCCUCAGCGGUGGCCAUAUCAAACACCUCACCACCAAAAGUGAUGGUUGGGGUCUAAUUUUGUUUAUUAGGGAUGUAAUUGGUGCUUUCUAUUCCUUAUUGAGGCUUACUUACAAAGAUUAUGUAGUUUUUUUGCACAUCGUUGCACUAAUUGUGCUUAGUGUCUUUUAAUCCAUAUUUUACCUUUUCAAAAAAGAAAAAAGAAAAAAGAAGAGAUCAGAUAGGAAUAAUCAAUUAAGAAAGAAGAUGAUAGAUAUGAAUAAUCAAUUACUAUGAAAAAGAUGAAAAGUUCAAGAAAUGCAUCGAUAGACACUUAUGAGUAAAGGCAAAUAGAAACUUUCAUGAACUACAAAAAUAUUAGGACAUGAAUGAUCUUCAUUGUCUUUCAUCCAAGGGCGGUUGUAAGGCUAGAAAGUAGCUUACGAAAUAUGUUAUCUGCCAAAACCGUUCCUAAGAAGCUUGCAAAAUAUGCAUGUACACAAAGUUGUUGAAUUGAAGAGGACUUACCAAAUCAUCAAGUGGGGAAUUUUAUGAGUCGCAUGAGUUUGCAACUAGAGUUUUGCAAAAGUGGAUGGAAGUUCUAUUCACCUUUUAUUAAGGAUAAGUUACUUUGAAUUACUGUGAUGUGUUCUUAAAAACACGGUAUUAGUCCAGUAAUAUAGUUACAACAAGUCUAUGUAUAGAUUAUGAGUAAUUUUUAAUUUAAUUUUUUAAACCAAAAUUGUAUUGUUCUUAUUCAUAAUUGUAUAAUUGAUUUUGUGUUUCAUAUCACUGUAAAUUUAUAAGUCGCUUCUUC
Molecule: long non-coding RNA, 1338 nt
Organism: Medicago truncatula (barrel medic)
Lineage: Eukaryota; Viridiplantae; Streptophyta; Magnoliopsida; Fabales; Fabaceae
Exons: 5
Source: RefSeq, a predicted model, not a curated record